Molecule: small RNA, 125 nt
Filed under: human gut metagenome
Also listed under: 1 other name
Description: Ribosomal protein L10 leader
Rfam family: Ribosomal protein L10 leader
About the family: This family is a putative r-protein leader autoregulatory structure found in B. subtilis and other low-GC Gram-positive bacteria. It is located in the 5' untranslated regions of mRNAs encoding ribosomal proteins L10 and L12 (rplJ-rplL).
Source: RNAcentral
AGCAAAGCAUAUUGCCGAAGACAGUAGGUGCCGCAAGGCGUAAACGUAAGUGCCUGCCGAGGAAAUGUAGAUGAUAUCUAUAUGAAUGAUUCGUCCUCUCUGUCUUCCACAGAGAGGACUUUUUU